RNAcentral lists this unclassified non-coding RNA (337 nucleotides) under soil metagenome. RNAcentral's name for it is "partial contains 5.8S ribosomal RNA, internal transcribed spacer 2, and large subunit ribosomal RNA". The stretch from base 1 to 120 matches the Rfam family "5.8S ribosomal RNA", at positions 35 to 154 of the family's 154-position model. The record is from RNAcentral.
GAUGAAGAACGUAGCGAAAUGCGAUAAGUAAUGUGAAUUGCAGAAUUCAGUGAAUCAUCGAAUCUUUGAACGCACAUUGCGCCCGCCAGUAUUCUGGCGGGCAUGCCUGUUCGAGCGUCAUUUCAACCAUCAAGCCCCCGGGCUUGUGUUGGGGACCUGCGGCUGCCGCAGGCCCUGAAAAGCAGUGGCGGGCUCGCUGUCACACCGAGCGUGGUAGAUUUUAUCUCGCUCAGGGCGUGCUGCGGGUUCCGGCCGUUAAACCACCUUCAUAACCCAAGGUUGACCUCGGAUCAGGUAGGAAGACCCGCUGAACUUAAGCAUAUCAAUAAGCGGAGGA